GAUGAACGCUAGCGGUAGGCUUAACACAUGCAAGUCGAGGGGCAGCACAAGGUAGCUUGCUAUCUGGGUGGCGACCGGCGCACGGGUGCGUAACGCGUAUGCAACUUGCCCUAUACAGGAGGAUAACCCGUCGAAAGACGGACUAAUACUGCGUAUGCUCACAACUUGGCAUCAAGUGGUGAGGAAAGAAAUUCGGUAUAGGAUAGGCAUGCGUCCCAUUAGCUUGUUGGUGAGGUAACGGCUCACCAAGGCAACGAUGGCUAGGGGAACUGAGAGGUUUAUCCCCCACACUGGUACUGAGACACGGACCAGACUCCUACGGGAGGCAGCAGUGAGGAAUAUUGGUCAAUGGGCGCGAGCCUGAACCAGCCAAGUCGCGUGAAGGAUGACUGUCUUAUGGAUUGUAAACUUCUUUUAUACGGGAAUAACAAGAGUCACGUGUGACUCCCUGCAUGUACCGUAUGAAUAAGCAUCGGCUAACUCCGUG
This 487-nucleotide ribosomal RNA is filed under the name uncultured bacterium. RNAcentral's name for it is "partial 16S ribosomal RNA". It matches the Rfam family "Bacterial small subunit ribosomal RNA", at positions 28 to 507 of the family's 1533-position model. The record is from RNAcentral.